AUUGAACGCUGGCGGCAUGCCUUACACAUGCAAGUCGAACGGCAGCACGGGAGCAAUCCUGGUGGCGAGUGGCGAACGGGUGAGUAAUAUAUCGGAACGUGCCCAGUCGUGGGGGAUAACGCAGCGAAAGCUGUGCUAAUACCGCAUAUGAUCUACGGAUGAAAGCGGGGGAUCGCAAGACCUCGCGCGAUUGGAGCGGCCGAUAUCAGAUUAGCUAGUUGGUGGGGUAAAGGCCCACCAAGGCGACGAUCUGUAGCUGGUCUGAGAGGACGACCAGCCACACUGGAACUGAGACACGGUCCAGACUCCUACGGGAGGCAGUAGUGGGGAAUUUUGGACAAUGGGCGCAAGCCUGAUCCAGCAAUGCCGCGUGCAGGAUGAAGGCCUUCGGGUUGUAAACUGCUUUUGUACGGAACGAAACGGCCCUUUCUAAUACAGGGGGCUAAUGACGGUACCGUAAGGAUAAGCACCGGCUAACUACGUGCCAGCCGCCGCCGUAA
Molecule: ribosomal RNA, 500 nt
Filed under: uncultured bacterium
Lineage: Bacteria
Description: partial 16S ribosomal RNA
Rfam family: Bacterial small subunit ribosomal RNA
Source: RNAcentral